CCAGACUCCUACGGGAGGCAGCAGUGGGGAAUAUUGCACAAUGGGGGAAACCCUGAUGCAGCGACGCCGCGUGAGUGAAGAAGUAUUUCGGUAUGUAAAGCUCUAUCAGCAGGGAAGAAAAUGACGGUACCUGACUAAGAAGCCCCGGCUAACUACGUGCCAGCAGCCGCGGUAAUACGUAGGGGGCAAGCGUUAUCCGGAUUUACCGGGUGUAAAGGGAGCGUAGACGGCAAUGCAAGCCAGAUGUGAAAGCCCGGGGCUCAACCCCGGGACUGCAUUUGGAACUGUGUAGCUGGAGUGUCGGAGAGGCAGGCGGAAUUCCUAGUGUAGCGGCGAAAUGCGUAGAUAUUAGGAGGAACACCAGUGGCGAAGGCGGCCUGCUGGGCGAUGACUGACGUUGAGGCUCGAAAGCGUGGGGAGCAAACAGGAUUAGAUACCCUCGUA
RNAcentral lists this ribosomal RNA (444 nucleotides) under uncultured bacterium. RNAcentral describes it as "bacterial SSU rRNA". It matches the Rfam family "Bacterial small subunit ribosomal RNA", at positions 331 to 792 of the family's 1533-position model. The record is from RNAcentral.